AGGAUGAACGCUAGCUACAGGCUUAACACAUGCAAGUCGAGGGGCAGCAUGGUCUUAGCUUGCUAAGGCCGAUGGCGACCGGCGCACGGGUGAGUAACACGUAUCCAACCUGCCGUCUACUCUUGGACAGCCUUCUGAAAGGAAGAUUAAUACAAGAUGGCAUCAUGAGUCCGCAUGUUCACAUGAUUAAAGGUAUUCCGGUAGACGAUGGGGAUGCGUUCCAUUAGAUAGUAGGCGGGGUAACGGCCCACCUAGUCUUCGAUGGAUAGGGGUUCUGAGAGGAAGGUCCCCCACAUUGGAACUGAGACACGGUCCAAACUCCUACGGGAGGCAGCAGUGAGGAAUAUUGGUCAAUGGGCGAGAGCCUGAACCAGCCAAGUAGCGUGAAGGAUGACUGCCCUAUGGGUUGUAAACUUCUUUUAUAAAGGAAUAAAGUCGGGUAUGGAUACCCGUUUGCAUGUACUUUAUGAAUAAGGAUCGGCUAACUCCGUGCCAGCAGCCGCGGUAAUACGGAGGAUCCGAGCGUUAUCCGGAUUUAUUGGGUUUAAAGGGAGCGUAGAUGGAUGUUUAAGUCAGUUGUGAAAGUUUGCGGCUCAACCGUAAAAUUGCAGUUGAUACUGGAUAUCUUGAGUGCAGUUGAGGCAGGCGGAAUUCGUGGUGUAGCGGUGAAAUGCUUAGAUAUCACGAAGAACUCCGAUUGCGAAGGCAGCCUGCUAAGCUGCAACUGACAUUGAGGCUCGAAAGUGUGGGUAUCAAACAGGAUUAGAUACCCUGGUAGUCCACACGGUAAACGAUGAAUACUCGCUGUUUGCGAUAUACGGCAAGCGGCCAAGCGAAAGCGUUAAGUAUUCCACCUGGGGGAGUACGCCGGCAACGGUGAAAACUCAAAAGGAAUUGACGGGGGCCCCGCACAAGCGGAGGAACAUGUGGUUUAAUUUGAUGAUACGCGAGGAACCUUACCCGGGCUUAAAUUGCAGAUGAAUUACGGUGAAAGCCGUAAGCCGCAAGGCAUCUGUGAAGGUGCUGCAUGGUUGUCGUCAGCUCGUGCCGUGAGGUGUCGGCAUAAGUGCCAUAACGAGCGCAACCCUUGUUGUCAGUUACUAACAGGUUAUGCUGAGGACUCUGACAAGACUGCCAUCGUAAGAUGUGAGGAAGGUGGGGAUGACGUCAAAUCAGCACGGCCCUUACGUCCGGGGCUACACACGUGUUACAAUGGGGGGUACAGAGGGCCGCUACCACGCGAGUGGAUGCCAAUCCCCAAAACCUCUCUCAGUUCGGACUGGAGUCUGCAACCCGACUCCACGAAGCUGGAUUCGCUAGUAAUCGCGCAUCAGCCACGGCGCGGUGAAUACGUUCCCGGGCCUUGUACACACCGCCCGUCAAGCCAUGGGAGCCGGGGGUACCUGAAGUGCGUAACCGCGAGGAGCGCCCUAGGGUAAAAC
RNAcentral lists this ribosomal RNA (1442 nucleotides) under uncultured organism. RNAcentral describes it as "16S ribosomal RNA". It matches the Rfam family "Bacterial small subunit ribosomal RNA". The record is from RNAcentral.